GAUGAACGCUGGCGGCGUGCUUAACACAUGCAAGUCGAACGGUGAAGCAGGAGCUUGCUCUUGUGGAUCAGUGGCGAACGGGUGAGUAACACGUGAGCAACCUGCCCCUGACUCUGGGAUAAGCGCUGGAAACGGCGUCUAAUACUGGAUAUGUGAUGUGACCGCAUGGUCUGCAUCUGGAAAGAAUUUCGGUUGGGGAUGGGCUCGCGGCCUAUCAGCUUGUUGGUGAGGUAAUGGCUCACCAAGGCGUCGACGGGUAGCCGGCCUGAGAGGGUAACCGGCCACACUGGGACUGAGGCACGGCCCAGACUCCUACGGGAGGCAGCAGUGGGGAAUAUUGCACAAUGGGCGGAAGCCUGAUGCAGCAACGCCGCGUGAGGGAUGACGGCCUUCGGGUUGUAAACCUCUUUUAGCAGGGAAGAAGCGAAAGUGACGGUACCUGCAGAAAAAGCACCGGCUAACUACGUGCCAGCCGCCGCAGUAA
Molecule: ribosomal RNA, 484 nt
Filed under: uncultured bacterium
Lineage: Bacteria
Description: partial 16S ribosomal RNA
Rfam family: Bacterial small subunit ribosomal RNA
Source: RNAcentral